RNAcentral lists this small nuclear RNA (107 nucleotides) under Zalophus californianus (California sea lion). Lineage: Eukaryota; Metazoa; Chordata; Mammalia; Carnivora; Otariidae. The record is from RNAcentral. RNAcentral also lists the same sequence under 1 other name.
GGGCUGGCUUCGGCAGCACAUAUACUAGAAUUGGAAAGAUAAAGAGAAGAUUAACAGGGUGCCUGCACAAGGAUGACAUGCAAAUUUGUGAAGCAUUCCAUAUUAAA